CUGUGAAGGAAAGGUGAAAAGGACCCCGAGAAGGGGAGUGAAAAGACCCUGAAACCAUGCGCUUACAAGCGGUUGGAGCGAGGACAUGAUCCUUGUGACAGCGUGCCUUUUGCAUAAUGAGCCUACGAGUUACUCCUUACUAGCGAGUUUAAUUCCGAAGGAAGGAAGGAGGCGCAGCGAAAGCGAGUCUGAAUAGGGCGAGAUAGCUAGUAGGGGUAGACGCGAAACCAGGUGAUCUACCCAUGGCCAGGUUGAAGGUGGGAUAGUCUCCCACUGGAGGACCGAACCGGUAAACGUUGAAAAGUUUUCGGAUGAGCUGUGGGUAGGGGUGAAAGGCUAAUCAAACCUGGAGAUAGCUCGUACUCCCCGAAAUGCAUUUAGGUGCAGCGUUGGGCAAUCUGUUGUGGAGGUAGAGCUACCAAUAGGGCUAGGGGGCUUCACCGCCUACCAACCCCUGAUGAACUCCGAAUGCCACAAUGGAGUACCAGCAGUGAGGCGUGGGGUGCUAAGGUCACACGCCGAGAGGGGAACAACCCAGACCAACAACUAAGGGCCCUAAGUCAGUGUUAAGUUGGAUAAACGAUGUGAGGAUGCUAAGACAGCUAGGAUGUUUGCUUGGAAGCAGCAAUUCAUUUAAAGAGUGCGUAACAGCUCACUAGUCGAGCGUUCUUGCGCGGAAAAUAAUCGGGCAUCAAGCCCGCCACCGAAGCCAUGGGUCAGCAAUGACGGUAGGGGAGCAUUACGGCAGCGCCGAAGGUGUGGCGUGAGCCAUGCUGGAGCGGCCGUAAAAGCAGAUGUAGGCAUGAGUAACGAUAAUGGGGGUGGAAAACCCGCACGCCGCAAGACUAAGGUUUCCUCGUUCAACGGUAAUCAGAACAGGGUGAGUCGGGACCUAAGGAUAAGCCGAAGGGCGACGCCGAUGGCAAGCCGGUCAAGAUUCCGGCACCCGUAGUGGCUGCGAUGGGGUGACGAAGGGACGUAAGGGCUGCGAACUGACGGAAUAGUUCGUUGAAGCGCGUAGGCUGUGAGCGGGGCAGGCAAAUCCGCCCCUUGAGCUGAAACGCGAAAGUACACGGAAGCCCUCGGGCCGAAGUGAUAAUGCCCCCAUGUUGACUUCCGGGAAAAGCCCCUAAGCUUCAGGCCGCUACGGCCCGUACCGCAAACCGACACAGGUAGUCGAGGAGAGUAUCCUCAGGCGCUCGAGUGAGUCACGGCUAAGGAACUCGGCAAAAUGGACCCGUAACUUCGGGAGAAGGGUCGCCCCAGCAAUGGGGCCGCAGAGAAAUGUUUCAGGCGACUGUUUAACAAAAACACAGGGCUCUGCGAAAUCGUAAGAUGAAGUAUAGGGCCUGACACCUGCCCGGUGCUGGAAGGUUAAGAGGAGAUGUUAUUCGCAAGAAGAAGCAUUGAAUUGAAGCCCCAGUAAACGGCGGCCGUAACUAUAACGGUCCUAAGGUAGCGAAAUUCCUUGUCGGGU
This 1477-nucleotide ribosomal RNA is filed under the name activated sludge metagenome. Its description in RNAcentral is "bacterial LSU rRNA". It matches the Rfam family "Bacterial large subunit ribosomal RNA", at positions 501 to 1977 of the family's 2925-position model. The record is from RNAcentral.